RNAcentral lists this ribosomal RNA (436 nucleotides) under uncultured Oscillospiraceae bacterium. Its description in RNAcentral is "bacterial SSU rRNA". It matches the Rfam family "Bacterial small subunit ribosomal RNA", at positions 341 to 792 of the family's 1533-position model. Lineage: Bacteria; Bacillati; Bacillota; Clostridia; Eubacteriales; Oscillospiraceae. The record is from RNAcentral.
ACGGGAGGCAGCAGUGGGGAAUAUUGGGCAAUGGGCGAAAGCCUGACCCAGCAACGCCGCGUGAAGGAAGAAGGUCUUCGGAUUGUAAACUUCUUUUAUGGGGGACGAACAAAUGACGGUACUCCAUGAAUAAGCCACGGCUAACUACGUGCCAGCAGCCGCGGUAAUACGUAGGUGGCAAGCGUUAUCCGGAUUUACUGGGUGUAAAGGGCGCGUAGGCGGGAAAGCAAGUCAGAUGUGAAAUCCAUGAGCUCAACUCAUGAACUGCAUUUGAAACUGUUUUUCUUGAGUGUCGGAGAGGUAGAUGGAAUUCCUAGUGUAGCGGUGAAAUGCGUAGAUAUUAGGAAGAACACCAGUGGCGAAGGCGAUCUACUGGACGAUAACUGACGCUGAGGCGCGAAAGCGUGGGGAGCAAACAGGAUUAGAUACCCUGGUA